GGAACAGCAUGACGCGUAGACACUCCGGUGAGGAGUAGCGUCAGUUCAGAUCGUACGCUGCUGCUCACCUACGUGAAGGAAGAAUCGCUAGUAAUCCCAAGUCAGCAUACUGCGGUGAAUACGUUCCCGGGCCUUGUACACACCGCCCGUCACACCAUGGAAGUUGGCCAUGCCCGAAUCCGUUACUCCGACCCUUGUGGAAGAGGACGUCUAAGGUGGGAGCUGAAGACUGGGGUGAAGUCGUAACAAGGUAGCCGUACCGGAAGGUGCGGCUGGAUCACCUCCUAA
RNAcentral lists this ribosomal RNA (288 nucleotides) under uncultured Synechococcus sp. RNAcentral's name for it is "partial 16S ribosomal RNA". It matches the Rfam family "Bacterial small subunit ribosomal RNA", at positions 1245 to 1533 of the family's 1533-position model. The record is from RNAcentral. Lineage: Bacteria; Bacillati; Cyanobacteriota; Cyanophyceae; Synechococcales; Synechococcaceae.